Syngnathus typhle (broad-nosed pipefish) is the source of this 872-nucleotide long non-coding RNA. RefSeq lists it as uncharacterized. The record is from RefSeq and is a predicted model, not a curated record. Lineage: Eukaryota; Metazoa; Chordata; Actinopteri; Syngnathiformes; Syngnathidae. The transcript has 3 exons.
UUUCUAGAUCGCUAACGAUGGCAAGUACAAAUAGUUGUGUCCAAAUUCACAGGCUGCGUCCUCCAAGGCCAGUUCGAGGCUGGGUCCUUCGCAACUAGUGUUGGCUCGAGAAAACCCCCGGGAGUGGGAUCGGACUUCGAGGGGCAUUCUCUCUUGUGGAGGUACGCCCUGUGAACGCACUGUGAUUGAGGAAUAAAGCAGUUAUCCUUCACGUCGUUGUCCAAACUAUUCUUGCUAUCUAAGAACCUGGAGAAUAGUAAGGAUAUAACACAAUGGACUUGGUUCGCACUCGGAAGCGAUACCGGACUGUUCGGGUAGACUGAGGAAAAGCUUUUUCCCCUCUGCCAUCAUCACCCUGAACUCCGCAGCACAACACCCCUGUCAUCCCCCUGAUUUGAUGAGUUCUGAACCCUGCAGCACAACAACCCCACCACAACAACACCUGUAUUACCUGCAUAUACUGUCCAUAUCUGCAUAUAAUUGCUGCAUUCCUAUCCUAUAUAUUUAUUCAUCACUUUUACUCCACUUGUACAUUUCUGUUCAUAUCUGGUUAUACUGACUCUAUGUUGCAUAUUUAUAACCCAAUAUUUAUAAUCAGCAUUCUAGUACCGCCUGCAGAUAUUUGUUCUACUGCACCUUAUUGUAAAUACUUACCUAGUCAUAUCCGUACUCGUCCCUCGUGUAUAUUAUCCCGCAUAGUAUAACUCACCUCAUAUUUACCUGAUUGCACUGUACCUACUGCUCAGUAUUACUUUUUACCCUGCACUUUACUGCUUUUUGCACUUCUGGUUCAAUAUCAAAGUUCUUUUCGCUGUACUGUACUUGUGCCGUACAUUGACAAUAAAUUUGAAUCUAAUCUAAUUUGGUACGAA